This 446-nucleotide ribosomal RNA is filed under the name uncultured bacterium. Its description in RNAcentral is "partial 16S ribosomal RNA". It matches the Rfam family "Bacterial small subunit ribosomal RNA", at positions 330 to 792 of the family's 1533-position model. The record is from RNAcentral.
CCCAGACUCCUACGGGAGGCAGCAGUGGGGGAUAUUGCACAAUGGGGGGAACCCUGAUGCAGCGACGCCGCGUGGGUGAAGGAGCGUUUCGGCGCGUAAAGCCCUAUCGGCAGGGAAGAAGGAGGACGGUACCUGACUAAGAAGCCCCGGCUAACUACGUGCCAGCAGCCGCGGUAAUACGUAGGGGGCAAGCGUUAUCCGGAUUCACUGGGUGUAAAGGGAGCGUAGACGGCGACGCAAGUCUGGAGUGAAAGCACAAGGCUCAACCAUGGGACUGCUUUGGAAACUGUUAAGCUAGAGUGCUGGAGAGGUAAGCGGAAUUCCUAGGGUAGCGGUGAAAUGCGUAGAUAUUAGGAAGAACACCAGUGGCGAAGGCGGCUUACUGGACAGUAACUGACGUUGAGGCUCGAAAGCGUGGGGAGCAAACAGGAUUAGAUACCCGAGUA